AAAUUAACCUUUGGAUAUCACUUCUAUAAACCAACUAACAAAUGUUAUUUUGUUGGGUUGUUCAUUGUAAUCCUACAAUAUGAUUUGCCUAACGCAAAUGAACGAGAGAUAGAACUCAAAGAAUGGGUUCUUUGAGAGACAAGAUAAUCAACAAAUAUAACAACCUAGUUCCUACACCACAAGCUCCAAGGUAGUUGAGAAGGAUUUAUAAACCGUCUCAGUUGAAUGGUUUGAACUUUAUGACUAUGUCAUAGAGUUAGUUACACCUCUUAAUUCAAAAGAAAUAAGAAUGAAAAUCCUAAUGACUACAUUGAGUGUACAUACGACAUAUACUCAAGGAAAUGGUAAAGUACCAUUUGACCCGAAAUAGUGAAACCUCUAAUAGCUAAUUGGUAGCUUAAGGUGACUGCAAUCAAAGAGAUUGGUUGACUUGGAAGAAACCAUCUUUGACAUAGUCUUGGUUUCAAUUAAUUCAAAGAUUGCUAGCUAUAACUAAAUGGUGAUUCAAUGUUUGGACAUAAUAUGGGUUUCCGAAACCAUUAUUAAGAUAGUCUUGAUAAUAU
RNAcentral lists this long non-coding RNA (563 nucleotides) under Malus domestica (apple). RNAcentral describes it as "long non-coding RNA (MDOM_LNC003791)". The record is from RNAcentral. Lineage: Eukaryota; Viridiplantae; Streptophyta; Magnoliopsida; Rosales; Rosaceae.